This 443-nucleotide ribosomal RNA is filed under the name uncultured bacterium. RNAcentral's name for it is "partial 16S ribosomal RNA". It matches the Rfam family "Bacterial small subunit ribosomal RNA", at positions 338 to 795 of the family's 1533-position model. The record is from RNAcentral.
CCUACGGGUGGCAGCAGUGGGGAAUAUUGGGCAAUGGGCGCAAGCCUGACCCAGCAACGCCGCGUGAAGGAAGAAGGCUUUCGGGUUGUAAACUUCUUUUCUCAGGGACGAAGCAAGUGACGGUACCUGAGGAAUAAGCCACGGCUAACUACGUGCCAGCAGCCGCGGUAAUACGUAGGUGGCAAGCGUUAUCCGGAUUUACUGGGUGUAAAGGGCGUGUAGGCGGGACUGCAAGUCAGAUGUGAAAACCCAGGGCUCAACCUGUGGCCUGCAUUUGAAACUGUAGUUCUUGAGUACUGGGAGGGCUGACGGAAUUCCUGGUGUAGCGGUGAAAUGCGUAGAUAUUAGGAGGAACGCCAGUGGCGAAGGCGGUCGGCUGGAGAGCAACUGACGCUGAGGCGCGAAAGCGUGGGGAGCAAACAGGAUUAGAUACCCCAGUAGUC